GGAGCAUCAUGAGUCAUAGCACAAACAAUCUCAUGUGAAGUAACACUAGCCAUUACUCUCCUCUCUGUAUUACUAAUAAAUGGCUCCUUUACUCUAUCUACCCUUAUUACUACUCAACAGUUCACAUGACUACUACUACCGACAUGACCCCUAGCAAUAAUGUGAUUCAUCUCAACACUAGCAGAGACCAACCGAACUCCGUUUGACUUAACAGAAGGAGAAUCAGAACUUGUAUCAGGCUUCAAUGUCGAAUAUGCCCUUUCACCUUAUUUUUUAUAGCUGAAUACACAAAUAUUAUUAUAAUAAAUGCCCUAACAGCAACCUUCUUUAUAGGGGCAUUACUCAACCCUUCCCUUCCUGAAAGUUUUACACUCAGUUUCACCCUAAAAACCAUUAUUUUAACUUCUAUUAAUUUGAGCAUCCUAUCCACGAUUUUGCUAUGAUCAAAUUAUGCAUCUUUUAUGAAAAAGCUUCCUACCCCUCACUCUGGUCCUAUGCAUAUGACAUAUCUCCCUUCCCAUUAUCACUGCAUGUGUACCAACCCUAAUCUAAGAAAUACAUUUGAUAAAAGAGUUACUUUGAUUGAGUAAAUAAUAGAGGUUUAAAUCCUCUUAUUUUUAGAACCAUAGGACUUGAACCUAAUCCUAAGAAUUCAAAAUUCUUCAUGCUACCUUUACACUGUGUCCUAAAAAGUAAGGUCAGCUAAAUAAGCUAUCGGGCCCAUACCCCGAAAAUGUUGGUUUAUAUCCUUCCUGUACUAAUUAAUCCCCUAACCUCCUUGACAAUCUACCUCACCUUAUUUUCUGGAACAAUAAUUACACUAUUCAGCUCCCACUGACUACUUAUUUGAGUAGGCUUAGAAAUAAGUAUGCUGGCAAUUAUUCCCAUUCUAAUGGAUAAAAGGUAUCCCCAAUCCACAGAAGCUGCAUGCAAAUAUUUCCUAAUUCAAGCCACCACAUCAAUAAUCUUAAUAAUAGGCACGGUUAUUAAUUUUACAAACUUAGGCCAAUGGACCCUAUCCAAUUCAUGCAAUCAAAUCUCAUCAUUUAUAUUCACAAUAGCAUUCUCAAUAAAAAUGAGACUUGCCCCAUUUCACCUUUGAGUAUCAGAGGUCACUCAAGGAAUUGCACUUAAAUCAGGACUAAUCCUACUAACAUGACAAAAAAUUGCCCCAAUCUCCAUGCAUAUCAAAUUGCAUCUUCCAUAAACUCUACCCUUAUAUUACUUAUGGGAAUCCUUUCUAUUAUGUUAGGAGGCUGAGGAGGACUCAACCAAACUCAACUAUGAAAAAUCUUAGCAUAUUCAUCAAUCACACAUAUAGGAUGAAUAAUAGCAAUUAUUACAUAUAAUCCAACUUUGACAAUAUUUAACUUAAUCAUUUACAUUACACUUACCAUUAACAUAUUUAUAUUUCUCCCCUACAACAAAAACUUCUACCCUCUCCUUAUCAAAUUUGUGAAAUAAAUUCCCCCUCCUAACCCC
This 1482-nucleotide long non-coding RNA is filed under the name Marmota monax (woodchuck). The stretch from base 552 to 620 matches the Rfam family "tRNA". Lineage: Eukaryota; Metazoa; Chordata; Mammalia; Rodentia; Sciuridae. The record is from RNAcentral.